This 28-nucleotide non-coding RNA is filed under the name Cricetulus griseus (Chinese hamster). The record is from RNAcentral. Lineage: Eukaryota; Metazoa; Chordata; Mammalia; Rodentia; Cricetidae.
AUCCGCCGUGGGGCCACUGUAGACAAGA